AUUGAACGCUGGCGGCAGGCCUAACACAUGCAAGUCGAGCGGAUGAGAGGAGCUUGCUCUUCGAUUCAGCGGCGGACGGGUGAGUAAUGCCUAGGAAUCUGCCUAGUAGUGGGGGACAACGUUUCGAAAGGAACGCUAAUACCGCAUACGUCCUACGGGAGAAAGUGGGGGAUCUUCGGACCUCACGCUAUUAGAUGAGCCUAGGUCGGAUUAGCUAGUUGGUAGGGUAACGGCCUACCAAGGCGACGAUCCGUAACUGGUCUGAGAGGAUGAUCGGUCACACUGGAACUGAGACACGGUCCAGACUCCUACGGGAGGCAGCAGUGGGGAAUAUUGGACAAUGGGCGAAAGCCUGAUCCAGCCAUGCCGCGUGUGUGAAGAAGGCCCUCGGGUCGUAAAGCACUUUAAGUUGGGAGGAAGGGCUUACAGCGAAUACCUGUGAGUUUUGACGUUACCGACAGAAUAAGCACCGGCUAACUUCGUGCCAGCAGCCGCGGUAA
RNAcentral lists this ribosomal RNA (500 nucleotides) under uncultured bacterium. RNAcentral describes it as "partial 16S ribosomal RNA". It matches the Rfam family "Bacterial small subunit ribosomal RNA", at positions 30 to 523 of the family's 1533-position model. The record is from RNAcentral.